This 2909-nucleotide ribosomal RNA is filed under the name Silene latifolia. Its description in RNAcentral is "eukaryotic LSU rRNA". It matches the Rfam family "Eukaryotic large subunit ribosomal RNA", at positions 323 to 2297 of the family's 3401-position model. The record is from RNAcentral. Lineage: Eukaryota; Viridiplantae; Streptophyta; Magnoliopsida; Caryophyllales; Caryophyllaceae.
CGACCACGAGACCGAUAGCGGACAAGUACCGUGAGGGAAAGUUGAAAAGAACUUUGAAGAGAGAGUUCAAUAGUACGUGAAACCGUUCGGGGGUAAACGGACAGAGCCCGUGAAUCCGGGCGUGUGGAAUUCAGGACCGACGGGCGGGCCUUCGGGUUCGUUCGUCGAUUCGAUAUUUCCGCCGUCGACCCUCAACCGAGGGUGUCGGACGUCGCGACCCGUUCGCCGAAGCCGAUGCUGAGGGGUGCGUUUCAAGUUCGCCUGCGCGGCCGUUUCGGCGGUCGUGCGACGAUGACGCGCUUCCGCUGUCCAUCGGUGCGGACGGUAGCUUUGCGCGCGGGUAUUCGAUGCAGCCCUUGCCCGUCGUCUCGUACGUCGGGCGGUGCUCGCAUCGACGCCGGUCAGCGACGAAUCUUCGGGCCUCUUUCCGACCCGUCUUGAAACACGGACCAAGGAGUCUAGCGUGCGCGCGAGUCGCGGGGUAUCCGAGUCGUUGUAGUCGUUUCGGCGGCGAACGCGACUCGUCACGAUACGAAACCCGUGUACGUACGUUGUGCGAAGGCGUAAUGAAAGUGAAAGGUGGCGCUUCGCGCGUCACCGGGGGAAGACGGUGUUCCGAGUUCACGUUUCGCAAACAUAUAUGUUUUGCGGCCGGACACCCGCAUUCCCAGGGCGUCCCUCUCGUACGUCGGUGGUCGGAGUUCGCGCUUCGAUCGUCGACGAACUGGGGCGCACCUACAGCGUGCACGCUGGUACCCGAAAGAUGGUGAACUAUGCCCGGCCAGGAUGAAGUCAGGGGAAACCCUGAUGGAGGUCCGCAGCGAUUCUGACGUGCAAAUCGAUCGUCUGAGCUGGGUAUAGGGGCGAAAGACUAAUCGAACCAUCUAGUAGCUGGUUCCCUCCGAAGUUUCCCUCAGGAUAGCUGGCGUCGGGAACGAAUCGAGGGUCGAUCGUGUUCGCACGGUCGACUCGUCGUCGUGGCUGUCUCAUCCGGUAAAGCGAAUGAUUAGAGGCAUUGGGGUCGAAACGACCUCAACCUAUUCUCAAACUAUAAACGGGCGAGAUCGUGGGCUUUCCUGAUAAGCGACGUCACUCGUGGCGUUGCGCAGCGAGAGAAUCGUCGGUUCGUGCGCUUUCGGGCGUACGCGGCCGGCGGUGCGAAGCCCACGACGGAACCAUUGACGCUCAGUGGGCCAUUUUUGGUAAGCAGAACUGGCGCUGCGGGAUGAACCGAACGUCGAGUUAAGGCGCCCAAAUCGACGCGAAUUUCAGAGCCCAUAAAAGGCGUUGGUCGCUGAUGACAGCAGGACGGUGGCCAUGGAAGUCGGAAUCCGCUAAGGAGUGUGUAACUACUCACCUGCCGAAGCAACUAGCUCUGAAAAUGGAUGGCGCUGGAGCGUCGUGCCUAUACUCGGCCGUCAGCGGCAGUGUGGGCUGGGGUGGCGCGAGCGCCGCUCCCAGACCCGGUAUGCCCUGACGAGUAGGAGGGCGCGGCGGUGCGCGCAGAAGGGAAGACCGCGAGGUCGCCUGGACAGAUCUUGGUGGUAGUAGCAAAUACUCGAGAGGGGUCCUCGGGGGCUGCCGUGGAGAAGGGUUUCUUGUGAACAGCCGUUGUCCAAGAGUCAGUCGAUCCUAAGCCCGGGGAGAAAUCCUGUACCCAAUGUAACGAUGACGAGCGUCGUGUCCGCCUCGCGAGCUAGCUCAUGGCAAAGCCGGAGGCAGAAACGGGAACGCCGCCGUAGUCGUCGAUGAUUAUCGAAUCUCGAAGCGCCUCGCGCACGGGCCCUAUCGAACUCUGACGGGUUUUGAUGAACCGUGGUCCGUGCAUCGUAAGACGAGUGCGACUUCGUAUACGAUUCGGCCCUCGUCUAUGCGUCGAACGUGAGGGCGGUCGUCGACGGCGUUCUUGAAAGAGCGCGGCGUACUCCCCGGCCACCGUAACCUGGCGAAGCUCAGCGUUUUGCGGCAUCGACGUGCUCGAUCGUACGUCGGGCGAAAGGGAAUCCGGUCCGUAUUCCGGAACCCGGCGCGGAACCGCUCCCUAGUGUUCGGGGCCCUUAAACGCGCAACGUCGGCGUCUCGUGCGUCGCGUUGUCGUGUGCCUCGUCCGGGUAACCGGAAUGAACCCGGAGAAGCCGCCGGGGGAUCCGGGAAGAGUUCUCUUUUCUCUGUGAGCGUUGUACGUCCCUGGAAUCCGCUAGCCGGGAGAUAGGGACGCGAGCGCGAAGAGCACCGCUCGCUGCGGCGGUGUCCGUGAUCCCCACGCGGACCGUGAAAAUCCGGGAGAGGGCCACGCGGAGUCUUCGCGCCGGUUCGUACCGAUAUCCGCAGCAGGUCUCCGAGGUGAGCAGCCUCUAGCCGCAUAGAAUAAUGUAGGUAAGGGAAGUCGACAAAAUCGAUCCGUAACUUCGGGAUAAGGAUUGGCUCUGAGGAGCGUGGCGGCUCGGGUUCGGGUCGUGCAGAAGCGGAGACAGGAUCUGACGGCGCCUUGCCGUUCGAAACUGCGACCUCGUGGUGCUUCGGUAUCGCGACGGUUGCGGCGUACGGGCGGCAGUGGGAUGUUCGUCGCCUGUCCUCCGUGGAACCCCCGAGCUUCGUGCUUCGGUCGUAUUCGGCGGAGUUGUGCGAUCAGCGGCUCGCCGUUCACACGGUGGGCGGCGUCGUGCGCUUCGUCGAGCCAGCGGCCGUCGACACGGGUCGACCGCCAUGUAACGGUCAGCUCAGAACUGGCACGGACUAGGGGAAUCCGACUGUCUAAUUAAAACAAAGCAUCGCGAUGGCCCUCGCGGGUGUUGACGCGAUGUGAUUUCUGCCCAGUGCUCUGAAUGUCAACGUGAAGAAAUUCAAGCAAGCGCGGGUAAACGGCAGGAGUAACUAUGACUCUUUUAAGGUAGCCAAAUGCCUCGUCA